UACGUGGGGGCCGAGCGUUGUCCGGAAUUACUGGGCGUAAAGAGCUCGUAGGUGGUUUGUCGCGUUGUUCGUGAAAACUCACAGCUUAACUGUGGGCGUGCGGGCGAUACGGGCAGACUGGAGUACUGCAGGGGAGACUGGAAUUCCUGGUGUAGCGGUGGAAUGCGCAGAUAUCAGGAGGAACACCGGUGGCGAAGGCGGGUCUCUGGGCAGUAACUGACGCUGAGGAGCGAAAGCGUGGGGAGCGAACAGG
Molecule: ribosomal RNA, 253 nt
Filed under: uncultured bacterium
Lineage: Bacteria
Description: partial 16S ribosomal RNA
Rfam family: Bacterial small subunit ribosomal RNA
Source: RNAcentral